AGGUAAUGGAGUCCAGGUGUGUCUCAUAAUGAAGCGCAGGUGUGCGUAAUGAUUGAUGACAGGUGUUCUUAAUGAUGGUUGCCAGGACCAAUGGUUAGUAACCCGGCGGAGGGGAGGAGUGGGAGUAGACGUGACAUGAAGCUCAUGUAAAGAUUUGGUUGAUUCCAUCUAUCAAACAGGUAGCCCUUUCAAAGUAUCAGUGAAGAAUGCUUCUGAUGUCAGUGAAGUCAUAGUGUCUGGGUCAAGCUUGGAGUCAGGAGUUUGUGUCAAAACUCCUCAGACCUUCACCAUAAACUGUAGCAAGGCUGGAGAAGUACUAGCAUCUGUGGCUGUUAUGACACCAAGUGGUAAGGUAGAAUUUUUGGAGGUGACAGACAAUGGUGAUGGGACAUACUCAGUGGCCUACUACCCUUCUAUGGUGGGUCCUCACUCUGGUGGUCAAAUAUGCCUAUGAAGAGGCAUUCUCCAGGGGUUGGUACUUUUUUUGUUAGGGCAAGUCAAGACUUUAGAAGCCCUUUACACCUUGAAUACAGAGGACAUUUGCUGCAACAACAGGGCUUGGAGUCAGGAAUUUGUGCCCACAUUCCUCAGACCUUCACCAUUGACUGGAGAGGCCCCAGAAUCUGUGGCUGUCAUGACACCUAGUGGUAAUAUAGAGCUUGCAAAGGUGACAAAGAAUGGGGAUGGGACAUACUUAGUGUGCUACUCCCCUUCCAUGGAUUCUCUGGUGGCC
This 733-nucleotide long non-coding RNA is filed under the name Salmo salar (Atlantic salmon). Its description in RNAcentral is "lncRNA (ENSSSAG00000086793.1)". The record is from RNAcentral. Lineage: Eukaryota; Metazoa; Chordata; Actinopteri; Salmoniformes; Salmonidae.